Molecule: transfer RNA, 64 nt
Filed under: Stenopus hispidus (banded coral shrimp)
Lineage: Eukaryota; Metazoa; Arthropoda; Malacostraca; Decapoda; Stenopodidae
Description: tRNA-Phe
Rfam family: tRNA
About the family: Transfer RNA (tRNA) molecules are approximately 80 nucleotides in length.
Source: RNAcentral
AUUUAUAUAGCUUAUCUAUAGAGCAUUACAUUGAAGCUGUAAAGGUGAUUUUUAUCUAUGAAUA